RNAcentral lists this ribosomal RNA (301 nucleotides) under uncultured bacterium. RNAcentral's name for it is "partial 16S ribosomal RNA". It matches the Rfam family "Bacterial small subunit ribosomal RNA", at positions 509 to 807 of the family's 1533-position model. The record is from RNAcentral.
CAGCAGCCGCGGUAAUACGAAGGGGGCUAGCGUUGUUCGGACUUACUGGGCGUAAAGCGCACGUAGGCGGACUUUUAAGUCAGGGGUGAAAUCCCGGGGCUCAACCCCGGAACUGCCUUUGAUACUGGGAGUCUUGAGUUCGAGAGAGGUGAGUGGAAUUGCGAGUGUAGAGGUGAAAUUCGUAGAUAUUCGCAGGAACACCAGUGGCGAAGGCGGCUCACUGGCUCGAUACUGACGCUGAGGUGCGAAAGCGUGGGGAGCAAACAGGAUUAGAUACCCGCGUAGUCCCUGUCUCUUAUAC